GACAGAGGCCUCGAGCGUUAGGCGGAAUCACUGGGCUUAAAGCGCGUGUAGGCGGAUCGUUAAGUGCCUUGUGAAAUCCUGCGGCUCAACCGCAGAACCGCUGGGCAUACUGGCGGUCUUGGGCCACUCAGGGGUCACUGGAACAAGCGGUGGAGCGGUGAAAUGCGUAGAUAUCGCUUGGAACGCCAAAGGUGAAGACAGGUGACUGGGGGUGUGCCGACGCUGAGACGCGAAAGCCAGGGGAGCAAACGGG
This 253-nucleotide ribosomal RNA is filed under the name uncultured bacterium. RNAcentral's name for it is "partial 16S ribosomal RNA". It matches the Rfam family "Bacterial small subunit ribosomal RNA", at positions 524 to 776 of the family's 1533-position model. RNAcentral also lists the same sequence under 1 other name. The record is from RNAcentral.